UUUCCGUAGGUGAACAUGCGGAAGGAUCAUUGUC
RNAcentral lists this ribosomal RNA (34 nucleotides) under Ficus bernaysii. RNAcentral's name for it is "partial 18S ribosomal RNA". The record is from RNAcentral. Lineage: Eukaryota; Viridiplantae; Streptophyta; Magnoliopsida; Rosales; Moraceae. RNAcentral also lists the same sequence under 3 other names.